AAAGUGAUUCAUCCUGGUUUGAUUGGAACGACGAAGAAGCUGUCAAAUUCCCAAACUGGGAAACAUGAAGCACCUGAUUUGAAAGUGUGAUAACUUCUUCAUCCCAACUCCUAUGAGAUUUAUUCAACUUCCUGGUGAUUAUCCACCACUUUAUGAAUCCAAAUAAUGCUUCUCACAAAGUGAUUCAUCCUGGUUUGAUUGGAACGACGAAGAAGCUGUGCUAUUCCCAAACUGGGAAACUGGAAUCACCUGAUUUGAAAGUGAGAUAACUUCUUCUUGCCAACUCCUAUGAGAUUUAUUCAACUUCCUGGUGAUUCUCCACCACUUUAUGUAUCCAAAUCAAGCUUCUCACAAAGUGAUUCAUCCUGGUUUGAUUGGAACGACGAAGAAGCUGUGCUAUUCCCAAACAAGGAAACUGGAAUCACCUUAUUUGAAAGUGGGAUAACUUCUUCAUCCCAACUCCUAUGAGAUUUAUUCAACUUCCUGGUGAUUCUCCACCAUUUUAUGUAUCCAAAUCAAGCUUCUUACAAAGUGAUUCAUCCUGGUUUAAUUGGAACGACGAAGAAGCUGUGCUAUUCCCAAACUGGGAAACUGGAAUCACCUGAUUUGAAAGUGGGAUAACUUCUUCAUCCCAACUCCUAUGAGAGAAGCUGUGCUAUUCCCAAACUGGGAAACUGGAAUCACCUGAUUUGAAAGUGGGAUAACUUCUUCCUCCCAACUUCUAUGAGAUUUUUUCAACUUCCUGGUGAUUCUCCACCACUUUAUGUAUCCAAAUCAAGCUUCUCACGAAGAGAUUCAUCCUGGUUUGAUUGGAACGACGAAGAAGCUGUCAAAUUCUCAAACUUGGAAACUGGAAGCACCUGAUUUGAAAGUGGGAUAACUUCUUCAUCCCAACUCCUAUGAGAUUUAUUUAACUUCCUGGUGAUUCUCCACCACUUUGUGUAUCCAAAUCAAGCUUCUCACAAAGUGAUUCAUCCUGUUUUGAUUGGAACGACGAAGAAGCUGUGCUAUUCCCAAACUGGGAAACUGGAAUCACCUGAUUUGAGAG
This 1048-nucleotide long non-coding RNA is filed under the name Brassica napus (rape). RNAcentral's name for it is "long non-coding RNA (BNAP_LNC015268)". The record is from RNAcentral. Lineage: Eukaryota; Viridiplantae; Streptophyta; Magnoliopsida; Brassicales; Brassicaceae.